CCUACGGGGGGCAGCAGUGGGGAAUAUUGCACAAUGGGGGAAACCCUGAUGCAGCGACGCCGCGUGAGUGAAGAAGUAAUUCGUUAUGUAAAGCUCUAUCAGCAGGGAAGAAAAUGACGGUACCUGAGUAAGAAGCCCCGGCUAACUACGUGCCAGCAGCCGCGGUAAGACGUAGGGGGAAAGCGUUAUCCGGAUUUACUGGGUGUAAAGGGAGCGUAGACGGCAGUGCAAGUCUGGAGUGAAAGGCGGGGGCUCAACCCCCGGACUGCUCUGGAAACUGUACGGCUGGAGUGCAGGAGAGGUAAGUGGAAUUCCUAGUGUAGCGGUGAAAUGCGUAGAUAUUAGGAGGAACACCAGUGGCGAAGGCGGCUUACUGGACUGUAACUGACGUUGAGGCUCGAAAGCGUGGGGAGCAAACAGGAUUAGAUACCCGGGUAGUC
This 440-nucleotide ribosomal RNA is filed under the name uncultured bacterium. RNAcentral's name for it is "partial 16S ribosomal RNA". It matches the Rfam family "Bacterial small subunit ribosomal RNA", at positions 338 to 795 of the family's 1533-position model. The record is from RNAcentral.